GAGUCGCAGCUGGACGAGGAUGAGCAUGGCUUACAUACUAAGUACAUUCAUCGAAUGGAGCAUGUGCCCACCUGGCUUCAGAACACUCAUGUCUACAGCUGGCCCAAGAAUAAAAAAAACAUCCUGCUGCGGCUGCUGAGAGAGGAAGAGUAUGUGGCUCCUCCACGGGGGCCUCUGCCCACCCUUCAGGUGGUUCCCUUGUGACACCGUUCAUCCCCAGAUCACUGAGGCCAGGCCAUGUUUGGGGCCUUGUUCUGACAGCAUUCUGGCUGAGGCUGGUCGGUAGCACUCCUGGCUGGUUUUUUUCUGUUCCUCCCCGAGAGGCCCUCUGGCCCCCAGGAAACCUGUUGUGCAGAGCUCUUCCCCGGAGACCUCCACACACCCUGGCUUUGAAGUGGAGUCUGUGACUGCUCUGCAUUCUCUGCUUUUAAAAAAACCAUUGCAGGUGCCAGUGUCCCAUAUGUUCCUCCUGACAGUUUGAUGUGUCCAUUCUGGGCCUCUCAGUGCUUAGCAAGUAGAUAAUGUAAGGGAUGUGGCAGCAAAUGGAAAUGACUACAAACACUCUCCUAUCAAUCACUUCAGGCUACUUUUAUGAGUUAGCCAGAUGCUUGUGUAUCCUCAGACCAAACUGAUUCAUGUACAAAUAAUAAAAUGUUUACUCUUU
Molecule: long non-coding RNA, 664 nt
Filed under: Homo sapiens (human)
Lineage: Eukaryota; Metazoa; Chordata; Mammalia; Primates; Hominidae
Description: non-protein coding lnc-REV3L-3:3
Source: RNAcentral